Molecule: ribosomal RNA, 201 nt
Filed under: Clostridioides difficile
Lineage: Bacteria; Bacillati; Bacillota; Clostridia; Peptostreptococcales; Peptostreptococcaceae
Description: partial 16S ribosomal RNA
Rfam family: Bacterial small subunit ribosomal RNA
Source: RNAcentral
GGAGCAAACAGGAUUAGAUACCCUGGUAGUCCACGCUGUAAACGAUGAGUACUAGGUGUCGGGGGUUACCCCCUUCGGUGCCGCAGCUAACGCAUUAAGUACUCCGCCUGGGAAGUACGCUCGCAAGCGUGAAACUCAAAGGAAUUGACGGGGACCCGCACAAGUAGCGGAGCAUGUGGUUUAAUUCGAAGCAACGCGAAG